AUGAGGGGGCAUAAACGAAGUGGAUAUCGUGCCCAGUGUGGCAGGAUGCGUGUUGAUAACUUGUCAACAUGAUCAUCUUCAAACGGCUGGGUUGACUCGUAAACAUUUUUUGUCCAUUUUCUUGAUCAAUGAUUAUUUCAGAAUUAUGACGCAUGAUGUGAAGGAAACCAUUUUACUAUUCUUAGAGUUGGUUUUUAAAUAAUUAGAUAAUAAUUAGAUAAUUAUGGAGUGGUGGUUUAUUUGUGACAUUGUUAAAAAUGAGUAUUUUGUGAUAAUGUUGACUUGCU
This 287-nucleotide long non-coding RNA is filed under the name Helianthus annuus (common sunflower). RNAcentral's name for it is "sRNA HanXRQr2_Chr12g0542601". The record is from RNAcentral. Lineage: Eukaryota; Viridiplantae; Streptophyta; Magnoliopsida; Asterales; Asteraceae.